RNAcentral lists this ribosomal RNA (735 nucleotides) under Oecleopsis sinicus. Its description in RNAcentral is "12S ribosomal RNA". Lineage: Eukaryota; Metazoa; Arthropoda; Insecta; Hemiptera; Cixiidae. The record is from RNAcentral.
UAAAUUAAGUUUAGUUUUUUCUUUUAUAAAGCUAAUAAUUGGAAAUACAUGUAAAUUUUUGUUAGAUUAUUACGUUCUUAAAGAUAAUAAUUUAUUUUCAGUGUUUAAAAUUUUAUUUAUGAUUUUUCUUAAUAAGUUAUAUUUUUUAGGUUGGAAUAAUGUUGUGCCAGCAUUCGCGGUUAUACUUCAUUUUCAAGUUUUAUAUUUUGAUUUGAGUUAGUUGAUUUAUAUUGCAUUAAUUUGAAAUAUUUGGGUGAAAUCUAUAUUUUAAUUUUUUUUUUUUGUCUCUUUAAUCUUUUUUUAAACUAGGAUUAGAUACCCUAUUAUUUAAGUUUAAUUUUUUUUUGUCUUAUGAUUAUAUUUAUUUUAAAGUAAAAGAACUUGGCGGUUAUUUAAUCUUUUUAGAGGAACCUGUUUUUUAAUUGAUAAUCCACGAUUAAAAUUUACCUUGUUUUUCUUGUAUAUCUCUGUUGUUGAAUGUAUUGUUAAAUUAAUUUUCUUUAACUAGUUUGUUUUAUGUUAGGUCAAGGUGCAGUUAUAAUAAGGAUUAAAUGGGUUACAAUUAUUUUGUUUAUUGAAUUUUUUUUUUUGUAAUUUAAUGAAUUUGGAUUUAAUAGUAAUUAUUUUUAUUUAAUUUAUUGAAUUUUGCUCUGGAUGAUGUACAUAUCGCCCGUCACUCUCAUAAAUUGGGAUAAGUCGUAACAAAGUAGUUGUACCGGAAGGUGUAUCUAGAAU